CCUACGGGGGGCAGCAGUGGGGAAUAUUGGACAAUGGGGGGGAACCCUGAUCCAGCCAUGCCGCGUGUGUGAAGAAGGCCCUCGGGUUGUAAAGCACUUUCAGUGAGGAAGAACGCCUGGUGGUUAAUACCCAUCAGGAAAGACAUCACUCACAGAAGAAGCACCGGCUAACUCCGUGCCAGCAGCCGCGGUAAUACGGAGGGUGCGAGCGUUAAUCGGAAUUACUGGGCGUAAAGCGCGCGUAGGUGGCUUGAUAAGCCGGUUGUGAAAGCCCCAGGCUCAACCUGGGAACGGCAUCCGGAACUGUCAAGCUAGAGUGCAGGAGAGGAAGGUAGAAUUCCCGGUGUAGCGGUGAAAUGCGUAGAGAUCGGGAGGAAUACCAGUGGCGAAGGCGGCCUUCUGGACUGACACUGACACUGAGGUGCGAAAGCGUGGGUAGCAAACAGGAUUAGAUACCCCUGUAGUC
Molecule: ribosomal RNA, 466 nt
Filed under: Vreelandella stevensii
Lineage: Bacteria; Pseudomonadati; Pseudomonadota; Gammaproteobacteria; Oceanospirillales; Halomonadaceae
Description: partial 16S ribosomal RNA
Rfam family: Bacterial small subunit ribosomal RNA
Source: RNAcentral